This 24-nucleotide microRNA is filed under the name Tribolium castaneum (red flour beetle). RNAcentral describes it as "tca-miR-87b-3p". Its record names the gene tca-miR-87b-3p. The record is from miRBase by way of RNAcentral. Lineage: Eukaryota; Metazoa; Arthropoda; Insecta; Coleoptera; Tenebrionidae.
GUGAGCAAAGAUUCAGGUGUGUUG